Molecule: ribosomal RNA, 1564 nt
Filed under: Lacticaseibacillus paracasei
Lineage: Bacteria; Bacillati; Bacillota; Bacilli; Lactobacillales; Lactobacillaceae
Description: Lactobacillus paracasei 16S ribosomal RNA
Rfam family: Bacterial small subunit ribosomal RNA
Source: RNAcentral
AGAGUUUGAUCAUGGCUCAGGAUGAACGCUGGCGGCGUGCCUAAUACAUGCAAGUCGAACGAGUUCUCGUUGAUGAUCGGUGCUUGCACCGAGAUUCAACAUGGAACGAGUGGCGGACGGGUGAGUAACACGUGGGUAACCUGCCCUUAAGUGGGGGAUAACAUUUGGAAACAGAUGCUAAUACCGCAUAGAUCCAAGAACCGCAUGGUUCUUGGCUGAAAGAUGGCGUAAGCUAUCGCUUUUGGAUGGACCCGCGGCGUAUUAGCUAGUUGGUGAGGUAACGGCUCACCAAGGCGAUGAUACGUAGCCGAACUGAGAGGUUGAUCGGCCACAUUGGGACUGAGACACGGCCCAAACUCCUACGGGAGGCAGCAGUAGGGAAUCUUCCACAAUGGACGCAAGUCUGAUGGAGCAACGCCGCGUGAGUGAAGAAGGCUUUCGGGUCGUAAAACUCUGUUGUUGGAGAAGAAUGGUCGGCAGAGUAACUGUUGUCGGCGUGACGGUAUCCAACCAGAAAGCCACGGCUAACUACGUGCCAGCAGCCGCGGUAAUACGUAGGUGGCAAGCGUUAUCCGGAUUUAUUGGGCGUAAAGCGAGCGCAGGCGGUUUUUUAAGUCUGAUGUGAAAGCCCUCGGCUUAACCGAGGAAGCGCAUCGGAAACUGGGAAACUUGAGUGCAGAAGAGGACAGUGGAACUCCAUGUGUAGCGGUGAAAUGCGUAGAUAUAUGGAAGAACACCAGUGGCGAAGGCGGCUGUCUGGUCUGUAACUGACGCUGAGGCUCGAAAGCAUGGGGUAGCGAACAGGAUUAGAUACCCUGGUAGUCCAUGCCGUAAACGAUGAAUGCUAGGUGUUGGGAGGGUUUCCGCCCUUCAGUGCCGCAGCUAACGCAUUAAGCAUUCCGCCUGGGGAGUACGACCGCAAGGUUGAAACUCAAAGGAAUUGACGGGGGCCCGCACAAGCGGUGGAGCAUGUGGUUUAAUUCGAAGCAACGCGAAGAACCUUACCAGGUCUUGACAUCUUUUGAUCACCUGAGAGAUCAGGUUUCCCCUUCGGGGGCAAAAUGACAGGUGGUGCAUGGUUGUCGUCAGCUCGUGUCGUGAGAUGUUGGGUUAAGUCCCGCAACGAGCGCAACCCUUAUGACUAGUUGCCAGCAUUUAGUUGGGCACUCUAGUAAGACUGCCGGUGACAAACCGGAGGAAGGUGGGGAUGACGUCAAAUCAUCAUGCCCCUUAUGACCUGGGCUACACACGUGCUACAAUGGAUGGUACAACGAGUUGCGAGACCGCGAGGUCAAGCUAAUCUCUUAAAGCCAUUCUCAGUUCGGACUGUAGGCUGCAACUCGCCUACACGAAGUCGGAAUCGCUAGUAAUCGCGGAUCAGCACGCCGCGGUGAAUACGUUCCCGGGCCUUGUACACACCGCCCGUCACACCAUGAGAGUUUGUAACACCCGAAGCCGGUGGCGUAACCCUUUUAGGGAGCGAGCCGUCUAAGGUGGGACAAAUGAUUAGGGUGAAGUCGUAACAAGGUAGCCGUAGGAGAACCUGCGGUUGGAUCACCUCCUU